This 439-nucleotide ribosomal RNA is filed under the name uncultured bacterium. Its description in RNAcentral is "partial 16S ribosomal RNA". It matches the Rfam family "Bacterial small subunit ribosomal RNA", at positions 338 to 795 of the family's 1533-position model. The record is from RNAcentral.
CCUACGGGUGGCAGCAGUGGGGAAUAUUGCACAAUGGGCGAAAGCCUGAUGCAGCAACGCCGCGUGAGCGAUGAAGGCCUUCGGGUCGUAAAGCUCUGUCCUCAAGGAAGAUAAUGACGGUACUUGAGGAGGAAGCCCCGGCUAACUACGUGCCAGCAGCCGCGGUAAUACGUAGGGGGCUAGCGUUAUCCGGAAUUACUGGGCGUAAAGGGUGCGUAGGUGGUUUCUUAAGUCAGAGGUGAAAGGCUACGGCUCAACCGGAGUAAGCCUUUGAAACUGGGGGACUUGAGUGGAGGAGCGGGGGGUGGAAUUCCGAGGGGAGGGGGGAAAGGGGGAGAUAUUAGGAGGGACACCAGUGGCGAAGGCGGCUCUCUGGACUGUAACUGACACUGAGGCACGAAAGCGUGGGGAGCAAACAGGAUUAGAUACCCGAGUAGUC